GGAAAUACAGGAUUAAUGUAGUUUACAGCUCACUUUUUUGGACUACAGUUAUCCUGAUACACAGUUGCAGCCAGGUUUCUACAAUAACUAUGGAAUUGAUGUGGUCACUAUUCAGUUCAAGAAGUGAGAAGAGGAAUAACCGGGUGGGAGGAUAUCAUCACCAACAGAAAACUCCUGAGAGAUUUACUGGAGAUUCAGCUCCUAAGAGUGCUGAAGAUUGACUGUUGGGAGUAACCCAGCAAUAAGAGAGUACCAGGCAGUGUAUUUGUUGC
Harpia harpyja (harpy eagle) is the source of this 272-nucleotide long non-coding RNA. RefSeq lists it as uncharacterized. The record is from RefSeq and is a predicted model, not a curated record. NCBI's taxonomy places the organism in Eukaryota, Metazoa, Chordata, Aves, Accipitriformes, Accipitridae. The transcript is spliced from 3 exons.